GCGGCGGUAAUUCAGUUGGAAGAAUGCGACCUUGCCAAGGUCGAUGUCGAGGGUUCGAACCCCUUCCGCCGCU
Molecule: transfer RNA, 73 nt
Filed under: Candidatus Omnitrophota bacterium
Lineage: Bacteria; Pseudomonadati; Candidatus Omnitrophota
Description: Candidatus Omnitrophica bacterium (sediment metagenome) tRNA-Gly
Rfam family: tRNA
About the family: Transfer RNA (tRNA) molecules are approximately 80 nucleotides in length. Their secondary structure includes four short double-helical elements and three loops (D, anti-codon, and T loops).
Source: RNAcentral